RNAcentral lists this ribosomal RNA (475 nucleotides) under uncultured bacterium. Its description in RNAcentral is "SSU rRNA". It matches the Rfam family "Bacterial small subunit ribosomal RNA", at positions 26 to 523 of the family's 1533-position model. The record is from RNAcentral.
AGGACGAACGCUGGCGGCGUGCUUAACACAUGCAAGUCGAGCGGAAAGGCCCUUCGGGGUACUCGAGCGGCGAACGGGUGAGUAACACGUGAGCAACCUGCCCUCAGCUCUGGGAUAGCUCCGGGAAACCGGAAUUAAUACCGGAUAUGACCCUGACUGACAUCGGUCAGGGUGGAAAGGAUUCCGGCUGAGGAUGGACUCGCGGCCUAUCAGCUAGUUGGUGGAGUAACGGCCCACCAAGGCGACGACGGGUAGCCGGCCUGAGAGGGCGACCGGCCACACUGGGACUGAGACACGGCCCAGACUCCUGCGGGAGGCAGCAGUGGGGAAUAUUGCGCAAUGGGCGAAAGCCUGACGCAGCGACGCCGCGUGGGGAUGAAUGCCUUCGGGUUGUAACCCUUCAGCAGGGACGAAGCGAGAGUGACGGUACCUGCAGAAGAAGCGCCGGCUAACUACGUGCCAGCAGCCGCGGUAA